GUUAGCCAAGCCUCUUUCACUCCAUUGGUUAGCGUCCUCGUUCCUUGCUACCUACGACUGGGGGCUCUGACAAGCACAAUUUACAUUGAGCUCGCCCUGCACUGCUAUUUAAUUUGAAACCUGAUUAGUAUGGGCCGUCUAUUGUCACAAAAAGAGGAAGAAACCCCGAUUAGAAUAGUCGCAAAGCGGGGUAAAAGCCGGGACAAAGCCAAGCGCGCAUGAAAUAAAUAAACGUACGCGGUGAAAGGUCUCAGGGAGACCGAUUAAAGUUUGAGAUGCUUUGUCUCACGCCGCUGUCAUGAUUACAAGCCCUUAAUUCGCGCAUUGUCUUUUUUGAACGUAUCACUCUCACAUACGCUAUAUUUUAGAGCACAGAGUCUGCGUUGGGGAAAUACUUUUUGAUUGCUGAUGUUGAUUUAUCUUUAUCGUGCAUAGAUAACGGUCCUUGUCAGGCAAAUUAUGGGAAAUAUGCGAGUGCACUACCGCCUACUAGCUGUUUUAUCUGUCUGGAUGCGACAGCAAUGAUAGCGAAUCCUUCAGACUCGUCUAUGAAUAACCGGACUAAUUCAAUGGAUAAGCCAUUAAGAUAUGUACAAAUGAUUGCUAUAUAGCCUUUGUUUAGAUUCUUAUUUAUUCGAAACCAUGCCUUGUCCUUUAAAUAUUCUGCGGGCAUCCAGUAUUUUGUGUAUGAAUGCUGUAGCCUGAGCUGUACAGACCGAAAUGUCUGGAUCGGGCUGCCACCUAGCGUACAGUAGACAAUUACAUGGACAGAGAACUGCAUAAGUUAUUGUUGUAAUAGGCCUGCAUUUUUUGGGUACUGUAAAGGUAUUUACAGUACUGAUCAAACGCUCGAUUAUCAUAUUAAUAUAGGUGGGCCAUGUUGGUCAGAAUUUUGGUAGUAUGCUAUGGUUUUAAUUAUAAAAAAAAAGUUGAAGCUUAUUCUUGUGUAGAAAUAUGUCAUCACGAAAAUGUUGAGCUGGAAUUGAAGAACAUUCCUCUCUGAGCAAGUUCAUACUUUCUAUUUCCCUAUCUUACAAACUACGCUGUUUUAUCAGGUCAAGUAUGACGUUGAUUCCACAGUACUAUGUAGGUUAUGUAGACCAUAGAUGCAGCGUAUUUAUAAGAGGGCGUGAAAAGUUUUUACAAUAGUUUGUUUAUGGCUUGUUUCAUGCAUUAAGUUAAUACAUUAAGUACAUGUUUUUCAAAUAGUCUCUUAACUUGCCUCUUGGAAAAUAUUGUUUUCGUGUAGGCUAUGUGUUUGGAACCAUUGAACAGUCUCCCUCCCUCCGGUUCUCUCGCGAUCGUGAUAGCCAACACAUACUGGCGGUCAUGUCUCCUGUUCUUUGAAAAGAUUCAGCGGCGAGCGAGAAGGAGAGAGAGAGGCACACCAGCGAAUGGGAGACCAGAGAGGAAGGCAACCAAGAGAACAGCGAGAGAGAGGAGGGAAAGUGGACACUAGGACAUGAAGGGAGAGAGUGCUCCGCGCCGGCUCUCAACCUUGCAUGGACAAUGUACUUCAGCGCGACCGAUACCCGUAAGGGAGCGAGAGGACCACUGAACUGAAGAACAGCCAUUACGGGAAUGGCCCCCUUCUCUGCAUCCGUGUUCUGCUGAUUCACAGGCAUCACGUGACCCCUGUGCCGUGACUGUCGGUUAGUCAGCCGGCUCAUCAGCAACACUCUCUCUCUCUGAUGAAGGGGGAUCGCUAGGAGACCGUAAGUACACCUGGGUCAGUACGGCAGAGACUCUGGCCUAUCAGGGUGGUCUGAAAGCAAAUUACACGUCCGCCUGUUGUCUGUCUGUCUGUCUGUCGUACUAUCUCCUGCAUAGAUCAGCGUCCUUGCACUAACAGGAAGUGAAGCGUAAUAACUAUGGCCUCAUUGAACGUGUGAUGAAGUUAUUUUAUGUCUUUGGUUUCUUACUGUACUCUACUGUACUAUAUGUGGAUCUGU
Molecule: long non-coding RNA, 1952 nt
Organism: Clupea harengus (Atlantic herring)
Lineage: Eukaryota; Metazoa; Chordata; Actinopteri; Clupeiformes; Clupeidae
Source: Ensembl